RNAcentral lists this ribosomal RNA (497 nucleotides) under uncultured bacterium. RNAcentral describes it as "partial 16S ribosomal RNA". It matches the Rfam family "Bacterial small subunit ribosomal RNA", at positions 29 to 507 of the family's 1533-position model. The record is from RNAcentral.
AAUGAACGCUGGCGGCAUGCCUAACACAUGCAAGUCGAACGACACCACCGGGAGCGCUCGCUCCUGGGGGUGGCGAGGGACGGACGAGUAACACAUGCAUAGCAUACCUCUUAGACUUGGGGGAUAACGUCGGAAAACGUCGAAUACCGGAUCAUAUAUCGUACGGGGGUGAGCAAGAGUGAUAGUGGGUUUUUGGGUCGGUAAUAGCUGAAGCCGCGUCGGAUUGGCUAGUGGGUAAAGUAACGGCUUAGCAACGCGACGAUGCGUAGCCGACCUGAGAGGGUGAUCAGCCACACUGGAACUGAGACACGGUCCAGACUCCUACGGGAGGAAGCAGUCGGGAAUCUUACGCAAUGGGCGAGAGCCUGAUAGUGCAAAACCGCGUGAGUGAUGAAGGACUUCGGCUCGUAAAGCGCUGUUGUUCGGAAAGAAGAAAAGCGCGUGUACCCGUGAUCGUAUUGACGGUACCGAAAGAAUAAGCCCCGGCUAACUCCGUG